Molecule: ribosomal RNA, 468 nt
Filed under: uncultured bacterium
Lineage: Bacteria
Description: partial 16S ribosomal RNA
Rfam family: Bacterial small subunit ribosomal RNA
Source: RNAcentral
GACGAACGCUGGCGGCGUGCUUAACACAUGCAAGUCGAACGGAAAGGCCCUGCUUUUGUGGGGUGCUCGAGUGGCGAACGGGUGAGUAACACGUGAGUAACCUGCCCUUGACUUUGGGAUAACUUCAGGAAACUGGGGCUAAUACCGGAUAGGAGCUCCUGCUGCAUGGUGGGGGUUGGAAAGUUUCGGCGGUUGGGGAUGGACUCGCGGCUUAUCAGCUUGUUGGUGGGGUAGUGGCUUACCAAGGCUUUGACGGGUAGCCGGCCUGGGAGGGUGACCGGCCACAUUGGGACUGAGAUACGGCCCAGACUCCUACGGGAGGCAGCAGUGGGGAAUAUUGCACAAUGGGCGGAAGCCUGAUGCAGCAACGCCGCGUGCGGGAUGACGGCCUUCGGGUUGGAAACCGCUUUCGCCUGUGACGAAGCGUGAGUGACGGUAAUGGGUAAAGAAGCACCGGCUAACUACGUG